Molecule: ribosomal RNA, 217 nt
Filed under: Pseudomonas asplenii
Lineage: Bacteria; Pseudomonadati; Pseudomonadota; Gammaproteobacteria; Pseudomonadales; Pseudomonadaceae
Also listed under: 1 other name
Description: partial 16S ribosomal RNA
Rfam family: Bacterial small subunit ribosomal RNA
Source: RNAcentral
GAACUGAAGAGUUUGAUCAUGGCUCAGAUUGAACGCUGGCGGCAGGCCUAACACAUGCAAGUCGAGCGGAUGACAGGAGCUUGCUCCUGAAUUCAGCGGCGGACGGGUGAGUAAUGCCUAGGAAUCUGCCUGGUAGUGGGGGACAACGUUUCGAAAGGAACGCUAAUACCGCAUACGUCCUACGGGAGAAAGCAGGGGACCUUCGGGCCUUGCGCUA